This 70-nucleotide transfer RNA is filed under the name Camelus bactrianus (Bactrian camel). It matches the Rfam family "tRNA". From Rfam's summary of the family: Transfer RNA (tRNA) molecules are approximately 80 nucleotides in length. The record is from Rfam by way of RNAcentral. Lineage: Eukaryota; Metazoa; Chordata; Mammalia; Artiodactyla; Camelidae. RNAcentral also lists the same sequence under 3 other names.
AGGCCUAUAGCUCAGUGGUAGAGCACGUGCUUGGCGUGCAUGAGGUCCUGGGUUCCAUCCCCAGUGCCUC